This 236-nucleotide ribosomal RNA is filed under the name Enterobacter roggenkampii. RNAcentral's name for it is "partial 23S ribosomal RNA". It matches the Rfam family "Bacterial large subunit ribosomal RNA", at positions 1 to 238 of the family's 2925-position model. RNAcentral also lists the same sequence under 1 other name. The record is from RNAcentral. Lineage: Bacteria; Pseudomonadati; Pseudomonadota; Gammaproteobacteria; Enterobacterales; Enterobacteriaceae.
GGUUAAGCGACUAAGCGUACACGGUGGAUGCCCUGGCAGUCAGAGGCGAUGAAGGACGUGCUAAUCUGCGAAAAGCGCCGGCGAGGUGAUAUGAACCUUUGACCCGGCGAUGUCCGAAUGGGGAAACCCAGUGUGAUUCGUCACACUAUCGUUAACUGAAUACAUAGGUUAACGAGGCGAACCGGGGGAACUGAAACAUCUAAGUACCCCGAGGAAAAGAAAUCAACCGAGAUUCC